RNAcentral lists this ribosomal RNA (497 nucleotides) under uncultured bacterium. RNAcentral's name for it is "partial 16S ribosomal RNA". It matches the Rfam family "Bacterial small subunit ribosomal RNA", at positions 28 to 507 of the family's 1533-position model. The record is from RNAcentral.
GAUGAACGCUGGCGGCGUGCCUAAUACAUGCAAGUCGAGCGAACGGACGCGAAGCUUGCUUUUUUGAUGUUAGCGGCGCACGGGAGAGUAACAUGUGGAUCAUCUACCUAUAAUACUGGUAUAAUCUCGGGAAACCGGCGCUUAUAGCGGAGAAUCUUUUGAACCGUAUUGUUCAAUAGUGAAAGACGGUGUUGCUGUCACUUAUAGAUGGAUACGCGCUGCAUUAUCUAGUUGGUGAGGUCACGGCGUAUCAAGGCGACGAUGCAUAGCCGAGCUGAGAGGGUGAUCGGCCAGCCUGGGAGUGAGACACGGUACAGACUCCCAGGGGAGGCAGCAGUAGGGAAUCUUCCGCAAUGGGCGGGGGCCUGUCGGAGCAGCGCCGCGGCAGUGAUGAGGAUCUUCGGAUCGUAAAACUCUGUUAUUAGGGAAGAACAUGUGUGUAAGUAUCUGUGCGCAUCUUGACGGUACCUGGGCAGAGAGGCACGGCUUACUAAGUG